RNAcentral lists this transfer RNA (72 nucleotides) under Salmo salar (Atlantic salmon). It matches the Rfam family "tRNA". From Rfam's summary of the family: Transfer RNA (tRNA) molecules are approximately 80 nucleotides in length. Lineage: Eukaryota; Metazoa; Chordata; Actinopteri; Salmoniformes; Salmonidae. The record is from Rfam by way of RNAcentral.
CUCCCUGUGGCUCAGUUGGUAGAGCAUGGUGUUUGCAGCGCCAGGGUUGUGGGUUCGAUUCCCACGGGGGGC